AACGCUGGCGGCGUGCCUAACACAUGCAAGUCGAGCGCGAAUGGAGCAAUCCUAGUAGAGCGGCGCACGGGUGCGUAACACGUGGAUAAUCUGCCUGGGAGAUCGGAAUAACCUGCCGAAAGGCAAGCUAAUACCGGAUAAGCCCACAGGGACUUAGGUCCUCGAGGGAAAAGGUGGCCUCUGUAUACAAGCUAUCACUUCCAGAUGAGUCCGCGGCCCAUCAGCUAGUUGGCGGGGUAAUGGCCCACCAAGGCAACGACGGGUAGCUGGUCUGAGAGGACGAUCAGCCACACUGGAACUGAGACACGGUCCAGACUCCUACGGGAGGCAGCAGUGGGGAAUUUUGCACAAUGGGCGCAAGCCUGAUGCAGCAACGCCGCGUGUGUGAUGAAGGUCUUCGGAUUGUAAAGCACUUUCGACCGGGACGAAAACCCGUAGGCUAACAUCCAACGGCUUGACGGUACCGGGAGAAGAAGCACCGGCUAACUCUGUGCCAGCAGCCGCGGUAAUACAGAGGGUGCAAGCGUUGUUCGGAAUUAUUGGGCGUAAAGCGCGUGUAGGCGGCCAUGCAAGUCGGGUGUGAAAGC
This 587-nucleotide ribosomal RNA is filed under the name uncultured bacterium. Its description in RNAcentral is "bacterial SSU rRNA". It matches the Rfam family "Bacterial small subunit ribosomal RNA", at positions 32 to 601 of the family's 1533-position model. The record is from RNAcentral.